This 154-nucleotide ribosomal RNA is filed under the name Pseudeurotium bakeri. RNAcentral's name for it is "5.8S ribosomal RNA". It matches the Rfam family "5.8S ribosomal RNA". From Rfam's summary of the family: 5.8S ribosomal RNA (5.8S rRNA) is a component of the large subunit of the eukaryotic ribosome. Lineage: Eukaryota; Fungi; Ascomycota; Leotiomycetes; Thelebolales; Pseudeurotiaceae. The record is from RNAcentral.
UCAACAACGGAUCUCUUGGUUCUGGCAUCGAUGAAGAACGCAGCGAAAUGCGAUAAGUAAUGUGAAUUGCAGAAUUCAGUGAAUCAUCGAAUCUUUGAACGCACAUUGCGCCCCCUGGUAUUCCGGGGGGCAUGCCUGUUCGAGCGUCAUUACA